This is a long non-coding RNA of Gopherus evgoodei (Goodes thornscrub tortoise), 95 nucleotides long. RefSeq lists it as uncharacterized. The transcript is spliced from 3 exons. The record is from RefSeq and is a predicted model, not a curated record. Lineage: Eukaryota; Metazoa; Chordata; Testudines; Testudinidae.
UUGGAAAGGUUGCAUUGCCAAUGCCAACACUGCUCCUGGCUCUUCCACCUGCACCUGAAUCCAACCAUGGGUGCCUGGGGGGUGGGGUCGGGGUG